CUCCUCUCCUUCUCUCUCACUAGUCGCUGCCAUGUGGGCCAGGGCUGCAUGGCGGGACCCCAUUGUCAGCCUCACAUUCCUCUCCACACGGGCCCACUGCCUGAACUCGCAUGCCACGCGUGUGAGCACGCGUCGAGCACGGGAGAGGGCGAGCUCCUCCUGUCCAUCUCCGCCGGCGACCAUACUUAACCCGACCGGCCGACCAACUUUCUCUCCCUCUCGCCCUUGUCUCGUUUCGCGGAAGAACCGAGGUACCCCGCCUCGGAUUCGCCGGGAACGGAGGCGCCAUCUCCGGCGCCGGCGAGAUAAGUCCUCGACUCCGUCGCAAUCCGCCAAUCUCCGGGAACGUGACCGCGUCAAAUCGGAACACCGUCGCGCUCUGGACGCCGCUGCUUCGCCUUUGCUCGUCGCCCGGCUUCCAUAGUUCGUUACAGGCUGAGCCACUUCGUCACGAGCUUCAUCAACACCUGUAGAUCAAGAAUCCCGAAGGAAUCGACGCGAGGUGGACCACAGUGGGAGAUCCUCUUCUUCUUCUCCAAUCCCAGCCACCGACGCCAUUCCUUUCUUUCUCCUUCUCUGUAGAAGCCUGGGGAUACGCCGUCGACGACGACCGUAGCAGCCGCGCCGUCGCCGAACCAGUACACCGUCGCCAAGACUUCGCUGAGCUGCGUUUGCUUCUUGAAUUGGUUGCAGGUGAGAUCACUCCUGUGGAGGAUGAUUUCGUUGGGGAAGUUUCUUUCUUCCAGGAUGGUUCUUACUAGGGUCUAUCCUAGUCGGUUGCAUGAAAGAUCUUUUGGGUAGAAGAUGCUUCCGCGAACCUAUCUAUUCAGCCAAUCGGCCAUGUGUAUCUAAGUUAUAAGUUGUAUGAUCCUAACUAAAACUUAGAACUUAGAACUCCCUAUGUUGAGAUAUCAUGUGCUUGGAUAAAGUGUUUAGUGUGUUCCUUUUGUUAGGGACAUAUUAAACAUGAGUAUGAGUUAAAGAUAUUUGAGAUGUUGUGGAUCUUUA
This is a non-coding RNA of Oryza sativa Japonica Group (Japanese rice), 1008 nucleotides long. Lineage: Eukaryota; Viridiplantae; Streptophyta; Magnoliopsida; Poales; Poaceae. The record is from RefSeq and is a predicted model, not a curated record.